UCUCUGCACCUGCUGACGUGCGCGCGGACGGAAGUGCUCUUCCAUGAAGCGUGGCGCACGCGAUCCGGUACACAGCUUUUUUUCUGCCUCACCUCUCAAUCCAACCCUCCAUUAGCAAAGCUGUUGCCAGGGUCUUGUCUGUGUGCUGCACAUGCCUGGAAUGUCUGGAGAAACAGCAUCAUGUGUUAAUCUGACAAAUACCUUGCAUUCAGGACAUUGAGUGUGGUGGCCUAGAAAAUGAUGCAAACGUAGGUUAGAAACAUUUGAGUGACCUGUUUUUUA
Long non-coding RNA from Oncorhynchus kisutch (coho salmon), 282 nucleotides. RefSeq lists it as uncharacterized. The record is from RefSeq and is a predicted model, not a curated record. The transcript has 2 exons. NCBI's taxonomy places the organism in Eukaryota, Metazoa, Chordata, Actinopteri, Salmoniformes, Salmonidae.